RNAcentral lists this ribosomal RNA (492 nucleotides) under uncultured bacterium. RNAcentral describes it as "partial 16S ribosomal RNA". It matches the Rfam family "Bacterial small subunit ribosomal RNA", at positions 29 to 507 of the family's 1533-position model. The record is from RNAcentral.
AGUGAACGCUGGCGGUAGGCCUAACACAUGCAAGUCGAACGGCAGCACAGUAAGAGCUUGCUCUUACGGGUGGCGAGUGGCGGACGGGUGAGGAAUACAUCGGAAUCUACUUUUUCGUGGGGGAUAACGUAGGGAAACUUACGCUAAUACCGCAUACGACCUACGGGUGAAAGCAGGGGAUCUUCGGACCUUGCGCGAUUGAAUGAGCCGAUGUCGGAUUAGCUAGUUGGCGGGGUAAAGGCCCACCAAGGCGACGAUCCGUAGCUGGUCUGAGAGGAUGAUCGGCCACACUGGAACUGAGACACGGUCCAGACUCCUACGGGAGGCAGCAGUGGGGAAUAUUGGACAAUGGGCGCAAGCCUGAUCCAGCCAUACCGCGUGGGUGAAGAAGGCCUUCGGGUUGUAAAGCCGUUUUGUUGGGAAAGAAAAGCAGCAGGUUAAUACCCCGCUGUUCUGACGGUACCCAAAGAAUAAGCACCGGCUAACUUCGUG